This is a long non-coding RNA of Helianthus annuus (common sunflower), 741 nucleotides long. RefSeq lists it as uncharacterized. The record is from RefSeq and is a predicted model, not a curated record. The transcript has 2 exons. NCBI's taxonomy places the organism in Eukaryota, Viridiplantae, Streptophyta, Magnoliopsida, Asterales, Asteraceae.
CUAAAAUAGAAGCUGAUGAUGAUGAUGCUGAAAAAUGACGAGGAUUGGACUGUUUUGGUGGAGUCCGGUGACGGCGGAGAGGUGAGAGAGAGAAGCACAGAGACGAGAUAGAGAGAGAGACUGGAGAGAAGGAGAGAGAGAGAGACCGAGGUUGGGAGCAACGCCGCCGCUCACGGCGGCGGCAGUGAGGGGCGACGACGGUGUUUCUAAUGCCCGUCGAAUUUCCGGCUACUGUUGAUGUUGAAGAUGAUGAUGUUUUGGUUUGGGUUUUCACGGGUUUCAUCGGUCAAAUCCAGCAGGUUCGGUUCUUAGAAGUUUCGGUUCGGGUCAAGCUGUUUUGGGUCAGAUUAUGGUCUCGGCUCAGGGCGGGUUUGGUUCGGUCAACCACGGGUCUUGGGUCUGGUUCGGGUUUGCUUCGGUUCCUUUUAUUUCCUGAAGAAUGAAAGUGAUGUUGAUCUUGUUGUGGCUGAUGUUAUUUAGCUCAAAUCUGAGUUAUGUUCGGUUCGAGAUUUACUUUCGGCUCGAGUUCAGGGUUUAAACCGAUCAGCUCAGUUUCGUUUGGGUCUCGGUUCGGAAAGGCAGCGGCGGCGGUCAACUCCGACGAGUGCCGCACACUCGCCCGUUCAAAACCCUUUGGUCAGUCUUUUAUGCCACUGUUUGUGUUUUUGUGUUUGUCAACGGAUUAUGUAUGAUGGUUCUUUACUAAAUGAUUAAAUGUUGAAAUAUUUGUGAAAGUGUUAA